AACGAACGCUGGCGGCGUGCCUAACACAUGCAAGUCGAACGGAACCUUCGGGUCUUGUGGCGCACGGGUGCGUACCGCGUGGUAACCUGCCCUUAGGUUCGCUAUCCCUCCCCGAAGGGGGUGCUCAUACCAGAUGAUCUCUUCGCACCAAGGAUCUAUCGCCUUUGGAUGGGCGCGGGUUGGAUUCGCUGGUUGGUAGUGUACUAGCCUGGCAAGGCGACGAUCCAUGGCUGGUCUGAGAGGAUGAUCAGCCACACUGGGACUGAGACACGGCCCAGACUCCUACGCGAGGGAGCAGUGGAGAAUAUUGGAGAAGGGGCGAAGGCCUGAUCCAGCAGUGCCGGGGGAGUGAUGAAGGCCUUAGGGUUGUAAAGCUCUUUUUCCCGGGAUGAUAAUGACAGUACCGGGAGAAGAAGCUCCGGCUAACUCCGUG
RNAcentral lists this ribosomal RNA (433 nucleotides) under uncultured bacterium. RNAcentral describes it as "partial 16S ribosomal RNA". It matches the Rfam family "Bacterial small subunit ribosomal RNA", at positions 29 to 507 of the family's 1533-position model. The record is from RNAcentral.